UACGUAGGGUGCAAGCGUUGUCCGGAAUUAUUGGGCGUAAAGAGCUCGUAGGCGGUUUGUCGCGUCGAAUGUGAAAACCCGGGGCUCAACCCCGGGCCUGCAUUCGAUACGGGCAGACUAGAGUUCGGUAGGGGAGUCUGGAAUUCCUGGUGUAGCGGUGAAAUGCGCAGAUAUCAGGAGGAACACCGGUGGCGAAGGCGGCCUUCUGGACCAGUACUGACGCUCAUGCACGAAAGCGUGGGGAGCAAACAGG
RNAcentral lists this ribosomal RNA (253 nucleotides) under uncultured bacterium. Its description in RNAcentral is "partial 16S ribosomal RNA". It matches the Rfam family "Bacterial small subunit ribosomal RNA", at positions 524 to 776 of the family's 1533-position model. The record is from RNAcentral.